UACGGAGGAUGCAAGCGUUAUCCGGAUUCAUUGGGUUUAAAGGGUGCGUAGGCGGGCUAUUAAGUCAGUGGUGAAAUCCUGCAGCUUAACUGCAGAACUGCCGUUGAUACUGAUAGUCUUGAGUUUGGUUAAGGUAGGCGGAAUGUGUAAUGUAGCGGUGAAAUGCAUAGAGAUUGCACAGAACUCCGAUUGCGAAGGCAGCUUACUAAACCAAUACUGACGCUGAGGCACGAAAGCGUGGGGAGCGAACAGGAUUA
Molecule: ribosomal RNA, 257 nt
Filed under: uncultured prokaryote
Description: partial 16S ribosomal RNA
Rfam family: Bacterial small subunit ribosomal RNA
Source: RNAcentral